GAUGAACGCUAGCGGCAGGCUUAAUACAUGCAAGUCGUGGGGCAGCGGGGGUAGCAAUACCUGCCGGCGACCGGCAAACGGGUGCGGAACACGUACGCAACCUUCCUUUAACUGGAGAAUAGCCCCUCGAAAGAGGGAUUAAUACUCCGUAACAUCCCGAUAUGGCAUCAUAACGGGAUUAUAGCUCCGGCGGUUAAAGAUGGGCGUGCGCCUGAUUAGAUAGUUGGCGGGGUAACGGCCCACCAAGCUGCGAUCAGUAACUGGUGUGAGAGCACGACCAGUCACACGGGCACUGAGACACGGGCCCGACUCCUACGGGAGGCAGCAGUAAGGAUAUUGGUCAAUGGACGCAAGUCUGAACCAGCCAUGCCGCGUGGAGGAUUAAGGCCCUCUGGGUUGUAACUCUUUAUCUGGGAAGAAUCCACGAAUUUCUUUUGUGGUUGACGGUACCAGAGGAAUAAGCACCGGCUAACUCCGUGCCAGCCG
Molecule: ribosomal RNA, 486 nt
Filed under: uncultured bacterium
Lineage: Bacteria
Description: bacterial SSU rRNA
Rfam family: Bacterial small subunit ribosomal RNA
Source: RNAcentral